Molecule: ribosomal RNA, 477 nt
Filed under: Candidatus Scalindua marina (nom. nud.)
Lineage: Bacteria; Pseudomonadati; Planctomycetota; Candidatus Brocadiia; Candidatus Brocadiales; Candidatus Scalinduaceae
Description: bacterial SSU rRNA
Rfam family: Bacterial small subunit ribosomal RNA
Source: RNAcentral
UUCGCAAUGCCCGAAAGGGUGACGAAGCGACGCCGCGUGGGUGAGGAAGGCCUUCGGGUUGUAAAGCCCUGUCAGGAGUUAAGAAAUGUAAGUGCACUAAUAUCGCAUUUACUUGACGAAGGCUCCAAAGGAAGCCACGGCUAACUCCGUGCCAGCAGCCGCGGUAAUACAGAGGUGGCAAGCGUUGUUCGGAAUUAUUGGGCGUAAAGAGCACGUAGGUGGGUUUGUAAGUCAGAUGUGAAAGCCUUCUGUUCAACGGAAGAAUUGCAUCUGAAACUGCAAAUCUUGAGUAUAGGAGGGGAGAAUGGAACUUCUGGUGGAGCGGUGAAAUGCGUAGAUAUCAGAAGGAACGUCGGCGGCGAAAGCGACUCUCUGGCCUAUUACUGACACUGAGUGUGCGAAAGUUAGGGGAGCAAACGGGAUUAGAUACCCCGGUAGUCCUAACUGUAAACGAUGGGCACUAAGUAGAGGGGUUUU